Molecule: ribosomal RNA, 388 nt
Filed under: uncultured Glomeromycotina
Lineage: Eukaryota; Fungi; Glomeromycota
Description: SSU rRNA
Rfam family: Eukaryotic small subunit ribosomal RNA
Source: RNAcentral
AGCAGCCGCGGUAAUUCCAGCUCCAAUAGCGUAUAUUAAAGUUGUUGCAGUUAAAAAGCUCGUAGUUGAAUUUCGGGGUCAGCAGGUUGGUCGUGCCAAUGGUAUGCACUGGCCUUGCUGAUUCCUCCCUCUUGAUGAGCCGUAAUGCCAUUAAUUUGGUGUUGCGGGGAAUCAGGACUGUUACUUUGAAAAAUUAGAGUGUUUAAAGCAGGCAAGCGCUUGAAUACAUUAGCAUGGAAUAAUGAAAUAGGACGUUCGAUCCUAUUUUGUUGGUUUCUAGGAUUGACGUAAUGAUUAAUAGGGAUAGUUGGGGCAUUAGUAUUCAAUUGUCAGAGGUGAAAUUCUUGGAUUUAUUGAAGACUAACUACUGCGAAAGCAUUUGCCAAGG